This 1732-nucleotide long non-coding RNA is filed under the name Homo sapiens (human). Its description in RNAcentral is "non-protein coding LINC01843:13". The record is from RNAcentral. Lineage: Eukaryota; Metazoa; Chordata; Mammalia; Primates; Hominidae.
GCUGCCUCUGGACAAAGCUCUGCAGAGGAGCCCCAUCUCCUUCAGCCCCCUCCUGCCUUUGGGGUGCAAGUUUCCUGAAGGACUUGAGUGAGAUGUCACCAAGCAACAGGCUGUCAGGCUCUUGGCAGCAAGUACUGGCCCAGCGACUCGCGGCAGAGUCUCUCCUUGGGGCGUCUGUCCUUAUCAGGGGUGGAUGCUGUCAGACUUGCUAAUGGUGGAAUUUCUGGCAUGUGGCAGGUGGGUAAAAGAGACCCCUGGGGCCAAGUGCAGUGGCUCACACCUAUAAUCCCAGCACUUUGGGAGGCUGAGGCACGAGGAUUGCUUGAGCCCAGGAGUUCAUCACCAGCCUGGGCAAUAUAGCCAGACCCGGUCUCCACAAAAAAAUUUUUAAAAAUUAGCUGGGCAUGGUGGCCUGUGCCUGUAGUCCCAGCUCUUUGGGAGACUGAGGCAGGAGGAUCAACUUGAGCCCAGAAGGUCGAAGCUGCAGUAAGCCAUGGUCAUGCCAGCGGAGUUGAGCCUGGACCACAGAGCAAGACACUAUAGGGAAGACAGCCAGGUGAAAAUGAAGGCAGAGACCAGAGUUAUGCAUCCGAAAGGCAAGGAAUGCCGGGGGCUGCCAGAAGCUGGAAGAGGCAAGGCAGGAUCCCCCACUAAAGGCCUUGGAGGGAGCAUGGCUUUAGCAGCACCUCAAUUUGGGAUGUCUAUUUUCCGGAACAGCGGGAAUAAGUGUCUGCUGCUGUAACUCCUGCUGCCCAGUGUGCCCUUCUCUCAUCCCUCCAGCUGGUCUCUCACUGCCUUCGAGCCCCAUCACCUGCUCGGGCUCCCCCUCUGUGUGUCCCCAGUUCUGGACACUUAUUCAGCAGACCUGUAAGUUUUGCUGGCCAGCCUAUCUCCCUGGCUAGACUGAAGGCUCCUUCAGGGCAGGCCUAACCUGUGCUAGGGCAGCAUGAUGCCUGGUACAGAAUAGGGGCUCCUUAGAUGUGGGGUAAAUAAAGGAAUGCAGACUCAUUUUAACUUGAUGUUGAUCUUACAUAAAGUGUGGGUGGAAAAGUAUAUCUGCUGGGCAAGCAUCUAGUGCAUCAAAUAACGAAUCCUAAAGUUAAAUGGAAAUUAUUUUUAGGUUGUCUGGGCAAAUAGCACAGAAGGUGGGGGGAAUCCAGAGAUAUGACCUCAGAUGUGACACAUGCAGACACACGACACACCACACAUACACACACACACACACACACACACACACGCAUAUGGGUACACACAAAUGCACCUUCUCUCUUCCUUCUGCCCCCACACUAGCAGCUCCUUCCUGGCUUCCUCCGCCCCUCACUCACACAAAGGGCCAAAGCAAAUACUUCAGCACUGAGUCCCCAGGGCCACCCCAGCCUCACAAGUCACUGUGCCCAAGGCCCUGAGGGAAGAACAGCUUGCUCACUAGUGCCUGAAGGAGGCUCCCAAGGCAGCCACCUUGUACACUGGAGACACUCCCAGCAGUGGGAGGCAGAUCAAGGCCAGGACACCGUUAAUGAAGCUUUGACUAGGGUGAGGCAUCUCAGGGCCAGCUGGCCUUGCUGCUUCUCACCCCACUCUAAGCCUUGAUCUGUCCACAUACUUGACCCUGUUAGAAUCUGGUGUCUGCCCCUCCCCCAUCCUGAUGUAACACAUCUCUGUAGCCUGAAGCCGGCCCAGUUCUUGGCUCAGAGCUACUGCGUCUGCAGCACAGAUCUGUCCCUGAGCACAG